This is a non-coding RNA of Podarcis lilfordi (Lilford's wall lizard), 72 nucleotides long. The record is from the annotation of a GenBank genome assembly. NCBI's taxonomy places the organism in Eukaryota, Metazoa, Chordata, Lepidosauria, Squamata, Lacertidae.
GCCUGGGCUAGCUCAGAUAGUAGAGCUUGAGACUAAAUCUCAGGGUUGUGAGUUUUAGCCCCACAUUGGGCA